AUUGAACGCUGGCGGAAUGCUUUACACAUGCAAGUCGAACGGCAGCACGGGGGCAACCCUGGUGGCGAGUGGCGAACGGGUGAGUAAUACAUCGGAACGUGCCCAGUCGUGGGGGAUAACGUAGCGAAAGUUACGCUAAUACCGCAUACGAUCUACGGAUGAAAGCGGGGGACCGUAAGGCCUCGCGCGAUUGGAGCGGCCGAUGUCAGAGUAGGUAGUUGGUGAUGUAAAGGCUCAACAAGCCGACGAUCUGUAGCUGGUAUGAGAGGACGACCAGCCACACUGGGACUGAGACAAGGCCCAGACUCCUACGGGAGGACGCAGUGGGGAAUUUUGGACAAUGCGCGAAAGCCUGAUCCAGCCAUUCCGCGUGCAGGACGAAGGCCUUCGGGUUGUAAACUGCUUUUGUACGGAACGGAAAGGCUCUGGUUAAUACCUGGGGCUCAUGACGGUACCGUAAGAAUAAGCACCGGCUAACUACGUGCCAGCCGCCGCAGUAA
This 500-nucleotide ribosomal RNA is filed under the name uncultured bacterium. RNAcentral describes it as "partial 16S ribosomal RNA". It matches the Rfam family "Bacterial small subunit ribosomal RNA", at positions 30 to 523 of the family's 1533-position model. The record is from RNAcentral.